This 434-nucleotide ribosomal RNA is filed under the name uncultured archaeon. Its description in RNAcentral is "bacterial SSU rRNA". It matches the Rfam family "Archaeal small subunit ribosomal RNA", at positions 19 to 458 of the family's 1478-position model. The record is from RNAcentral.
GGACCUGACUGCUAUCGGAUUGAUACUAAGCCAUGCGAGUCAUUGUAGCAAUACAAGGCAUACGGCUCAGUAACGCGUAGUCAACCUAACCUAUGGACGGGAAUAACCUCGGGAAACUGAGAAUAAUGCCCGAUAGAACAUUAUGCCUGGAAUGGUUUAUGUUCCAAAUGAUUUAUCGCCGUAGGAUGGGACUGCGGCCUACCAGUUUGUUGGUGAGGUAAUGGCCCACCAAGACUAUUACAGGUACGGGCUCUGAGAGGAGUAGCCCGGAGAUGGGUACUGAGACACGGACCCAGGCCCUAUGGGGCGCAGCAGGCGAGAAAACUUUGCAAUGUGCGAAAGCACGACAAGGUUAAUCCGAGUGGUUUCUGCUAAAGAAACCUUUUGUCAGUCCUAGAAACACUGAUGAAUAAGGGGUGGGCGAGUUCUGGUGU